GGACCUGACUGCUAUCGGAUUGAUACUAAGCCAUGCGAGUCAUUGUAGCAAUACAAGGCAUACGGCUCAGUAACGCGUAGUCAACCUAACCUAUGGACGGGAAUAACCUCGGGAAACUGAGAAUAAUGCCCGAUAGAACAUUAUGCCUGGAAUGGUUUAUGUUCCAAAUGAUUUAUCGCCGUAGGAUGGGACUGCGGCCUAUCAGUUUGUUGGUGAGGUAAUGGCCCACCAAGACUAUUACAGGUACGGGCUCUGAGAGGGGUAGCCCGGAGAUGGGUACUGAGACACGGACCCAGGCCCUAUGGGGCGCAGCAGGCGAGAAAACUUUGCAAUGUGCGAAAGCACGACAAGGUUAAUCCGAGUGGUUUCUGCCAAAGAAACCUUUUGUCAGUCCUAGAAACACUGAUGAAUAAGGGGUGGGCAAGUUCUGGUGU
This 434-nucleotide ribosomal RNA is filed under the name uncultured archaeon. RNAcentral describes it as "bacterial SSU rRNA". It matches the Rfam family "Archaeal small subunit ribosomal RNA", at positions 19 to 458 of the family's 1478-position model. The record is from RNAcentral.